Molecule: ribosomal RNA, 253 nt
Filed under: uncultured bacterium
Lineage: Bacteria
Description: partial 16S ribosomal RNA
Rfam family: Bacterial small subunit ribosomal RNA
Source: RNAcentral
UACGGAGGGUGCGAGCGUUAAUCGGAAUUACUGGGCGUAAAGCGCGCGUAGGUGGUUUGGUAAGUCGGAUGUGAAAGCCCCGGGCUUAACCUGGGAACUGCAUUCGAUACUGCCUUACUGGAGUGUGGUAGAGGGUAGUGGAAUUCCAGAUGUAGCGGUGAAAUGCGUAGAUAUCUGGAGGAACAUCAGUGGCGAAGGCGGCUACCUGGACCAACACUGACACUGAGGCGCGAAAGCGUGGGGAGCAAACAGG